UUAAGCGACUAAGCGUACACGGUGGAUGCCCUGGCAGUCAGAGGCGAUGAAGGACGUGCUAAUCUGCGAUAAGCGUCGGUGAGGUGAUAUGAACCGUUAUAACCGGCGAUUUCCGAAUGGGGAAACCCAGUGUGUUUCGACACACUAUCAUUAACUGAAUCCAUAGGUUAAUGAGGCGAACCGGGGGAACUGAAACAUCUAAGUACCCCGAGGAAAAGAAAUCAACCGAGAUUCCCCCAGUAGCGGCGAGCGAACGGGGAGGAGCCCAGAGCCUGAAUCAGUGUGUGUGUUAGUGGAAGCGUCUGGAAAGGCGCGCGAUACAGGGUGACAGCCCCGUACACAAAAAUGCACAUAUUGUGAGCUCGAUGAGUAGGGCGGGACACGUGGUAUCCUGUCUGAAUAUGGGGGGACCAUCCUCCAAGGCUAAAUACUCCUGACUGACCGAUAGUGAACCAGUACCGUGAGGGAAAGGCGAAAAGAACCCCGGCGAGGGGAGUGAAAAAGAACCUGAAACCGUGUACGUACAAGCAGUGGGAGCCUCUUAAUGGGGUGACUGCGUACCUUUUGUAUAAUGGGUCAGCGACUUAUAUUCUGUAGCAAGGUUAACCGAAUAGGGGAGCCGAAGGGAAACCGAGUCUUAACUGGGCGCUAAGUUGCAGGGUAUAGACCCGAAACCCGGUGAUCUAGCCAUGGGCAGGUUGAAGGUUGGGUAACACUAACUGGAGGACCGAACCGACUAAUGUUGAAAAAUUAGCGGAUGACUUGUGGCUGGGGGUGAAAGGCCAAUCAAACCGGGAGAUAGCUGGUUCUCCCCGAAAGCUAUUUAGGUAGCGCCUCGUGAAUUCAUCUCCGGGGGUAGAGCACUGUUUCGGCAAGGGGGUCAUCCCGACUUACCAACCCGAUGCAAACUGCGAAUACCGGAGAAUGUUAUCACGGGAGACACACGGCGGGUGCUAACGUCCGUCGUGAAGAGGGAAACAACCCAGACCGCCAGCUAAGGUCCCAAAGUCAUGGUUAAGUGGGAAACGAUGUGGGAAGGCCCAGACAGCCAGGAUGUUGGCUUAGAAGCAGCCAUCAUUUAAAGAAAGCGUAAUAGCUCACUGGUCGAGUCGGCCUGCGCGGAAGAUGUAACGGGGCUAAACCAUGCACCGAAGCUGCGGCAGCGACACUAUGUGUUGUUGGGUAGGGGAGCGUUCUGUAAGCCUGUGAAGGUGGCCUGUGAGGGUUGCUGGAGGUAUCAGAAGUGCGAAUGCUGACAUAAGUAACGAUAAAGCGGGUGAAAAGCCCGCUCGCCGGAAGACCAAGGGUUCCUGUCCAACGUUAAUCGGGGCAGGGUGAGUCGACCCCUAAGGCGAGGCCGAAAGGCGUAGUCGAUGGGAAACAGGUUAAUAUUCCUGUACUUGGUGUUACUGCGAAGGGGGGACGGAGAAGGCUAUGUUGGCCGGGCGACGGUUGUCCCGGUUUAAGCGUGUAGGCUGGUUUUCCAGGCAAAUCCGGAAAACCAAGGCUGAGGCGUGAUGACGAGGCACUACGGUGCUGAAGUGACAAAUGCCCUGCUUCCAGGAAAAGCCUCUAAGCAUCAGGUAACAUCAAAUCGUACCCCAAACCGACACAGGUGGUCAGGUAGAGAAUACCAAGGCGCUUGAGAGAACUCGGGUGAAGGAACUAGGCAAAAUGGUGCCGUAACUUCGGGAGAAGGCACGCUGAUAUGUAGGUGAAGCGACUUGCUCGUGGAGCUGAAAUCAGUCGAAGAUACCAGCUGGCUGCAACUGUUUAUUAAAAACACAGCACUGUGCAAACACGAAAGUGGACGUAUACGGUGUGACGCCUGCCCGGUGCCGGAAGGUUAAUUGAUGGGGUUAGCGGUAACGCGAAGCUCUUGAUCGAAGCCCCGGUAAACGGCGGCCGUAACUAUAACGGUCCUAAGGUAGCGAAAUUCCUUGUCGGGUAAGUUCCGACCUGCACGAAUGGCGUAAUGAUGGCCAGGCUGUCUCCACCCGAGACUCAGUGAAAUUGAACUCGCUGUGAAGAUGCAGUGUACCCGCGGCAAGACGGAAAGACCCCGUGAACCUUUACUAUAGCUUGACACUGAACAUUGAGCCUUGAUGUGUAGGAUAGGUGGGAGGCUUUGAAGUGUGGACGCCAGUCUGCAUGGAGCCGACCUUGAAAUACCACCCUUUAAUGUUUGAUGUUCUAACGUUGGCCCGUAAUCCGGGUUGCGGACAGUGUCUGGUGGGUAGUUUGACUGGGGCGGUCUCCUCCUAAAGAGUAACGGAGGAGCACGAAGGUUGGCUAAUCCUGGUCGGACAUCAGGAGGUUAGUGCAAUGGCAUAAGCCAGCUUGACUGCGAGCGUGACGGCGCGAGCAGGUGCGAAAGCAGGUCAUAGUGAUCCGGUGGUUCUGAAUGGAAGGGCCAUCGCUCAACGGAUAAAAGGUACUCCGGGGAUAACAGGCUGAUACCGCCCAAGAGUUCAUAUCGACGGCGGUGUUUGGCACCUCGAUGUCGGCUCAUCACAUCCUGGGGCUGAAGUAGGUCCCAAGGGUAUGGCUGUUCGCCAUUUAAAGUGGUACGCGAGCUGGGUUUAGAACGUCGUGAGACAGUUCGGUCCCUAUCUGCCGUGGGCGCUGGAGAACUGAGGGGGGCUGCUCCUAGUACGAGAGGACCGGAGUGGACGCAUCACUGGUGUUCGGGUUGUCAUGCCAAUGGCACUGCCCGGUAGCUAAAUGCGGAAGAGAUAAGUGCUGAAAGCAUCUAAGCACGAAACUUGCCCCGAGAUGAGUUCUCCCUGAGACUUAGAGUCUCCUGAAGGAACGUUGAAGACGACGACGUUGAUAGGCCGGGUGUGUAAGCGCAGCGAUGCGUUGAGCUAACCGGUACUAAUGAACCGUGAGGCUUAACCUU
RNAcentral lists this ribosomal RNA (2902 nucleotides) under Escherichia coli. RNAcentral describes it as "23S ribosomal RNA". It matches the Rfam family "Bacterial large subunit ribosomal RNA". Lineage: Bacteria; Pseudomonadati; Pseudomonadota; Gammaproteobacteria; Enterobacterales; Enterobacteriaceae. The record is from RNAcentral.